CAACUUACCUGGCAGGGUAGAGACCUCGGUCACGAAGGGGGUUCUCCCAGAGUGAAGCUUCUUCAUCGCACUCUAGUAGAGUUGUUGAUCCCUGUGAUUUCCUCAGUGUGGGAAACUGUUUGUACUAGAAGAGGGCUGCACUGUUUACCUAAC
Molecule: small nuclear RNA, 153 nt
Filed under: Chlorocebus sabaeus (green monkey)
Lineage: Eukaryota; Metazoa; Chordata; Mammalia; Primates; Cercopithecidae
Description: U1 spliceosomal RNA (ENSCSAG00000026835.1)
Rfam family: U1 spliceosomal RNA
About the family: U1 is a small nuclear RNA (snRNA) component of the spliceosome (involved in pre-mRNA splicing). Its 5' end forms complementary base pairs with the 5' splice junction, thus defining the 5' donor site of an intron.
Source: RNAcentral